This is a long non-coding RNA of Sinocyclocheilus anshuiensis, 337 nucleotides long. RefSeq lists it as uncharacterized. Lineage: Eukaryota; Metazoa; Chordata; Actinopteri; Cypriniformes; Cyprinidae. The record is from RefSeq and is a predicted model, not a curated record. The transcript has 3 exons.
GAACCACCCAGGUGUUUGCCCCCCUGAGACUGCACUAUAACACUGUCACGAAGGCCAGCAGUGCGCAGCAGCAGCCAGCAUGUAGUUUGAUGAUGAAGAGGAGGAUGAAGAGGUCACAGAAACGAAAGCUGGCCCAGAAAAUGACCUGCAGGAGGAGGAAGAAAGCAAGGACACAAAGGAAGGCCACCCGCGGGAGCUGACGGAGGAAGAGAAACAGCAGGUUUUGCACUCGGAGGAGUUCCUCAUCUUCUUCGACCGCAGUAUUCGUGUGAUAGAAAGAGCUUUAGCUGAGGACUCCAACAUCUUCUUCGACUACAGCGGACGUGACCUGGAGGAU